CUAGUAGAUACCUUUUUAUUGUAAAGUUUGUCUAGGACUUUGAGUAAACAAUAAUCGCUAGAAUUACAUGGACAAACAAGUGAAUAGUUAAUGUUUGAAAGAGUUACACCGAAAACGUCUGUAAAAAAAGUCUGUGGAUUUUCUGUUUAAAUCGUAUCUUAAUUUGCUCAAAAUCCCCGUUUUCUAUUAAAAAUGCAAUAUUAUUGAUCUGAAUAAUGUUUCCUAUUGGUAUAUGUACGAAAUGGCACGUCUCUUUACUUCAGAUUUUUUGCUGUUUGAUAUUAUUGCACUAUUGUAGUAAACAAGCCUACAGAAGGGGUCAUCAAUCCACAUAAGAUAGUGAUAAACAUUGACGUUAAAUACAAAUUCAAAAUAGAAAGAAAAAAGUAAAAUCACAAAAAUACUGACUUCCGAGGAAUAUUCAAUCGGAAAGUCUCUAAUCAAAUUGAAAAAUCAAAUGACAAAACACAUCAAACAAAUGGACAAAAACUGUCAUAUUCAUGAGUUGGUACAUUUUAUAUCCCGC
RNAcentral lists this long non-coding RNA (526 nucleotides) under Mytilus galloprovincialis (Mediterranean mussel). The record is from RNAcentral. Lineage: Eukaryota; Metazoa; Mollusca; Bivalvia; Mytilida; Mytilidae.